GUUGAUCCUGCGGGAGGUCGCUGCUGUCAGAAUUCGACUUAACUAAGCUAGUUCAGGGGCUCUUCGGAGCACCGGCAGACAGUUCCAUAACACGUCGAUAAUCUAACCUUGCGUCAGGGAUAGCCUUGGGAAACUGAGGGUAACACCAGAUAUGAGAAAAAUACUGGAAUGUAUUUUCUUUCAAAGGCAACGCGCAAGGAUGAGUCGGCGUCCGAUUAGAUUGUUGGUGGGGUAACGGCCCACCAAGUCAAAGAUCGGUAGGGGCCUUGGGAGAGGUAGCCUCGAGGAGGACACUGAGAUAAGGGUCCUGACUCUACGGAGUAUAGCAAGUGCGAAAACUUUACAAUACACGAAAGUGUGAUAAGGGGAUUCUGAGUGCUUAUGCUCUGCAUAAGCUUUUGCCAAGUGUAAAAAGCUUGGAGAAUAAGUGGUGGGCAAGACUGGUGCCAGCAGCCGCGGUAACACCAGCGCCACAAGUGGGGGCCAGCAUUAUUGGGCUUAAAGCGUUCGUAGUCGGUUUGGUAAAUCUUUUGUGAAAUUGUUGGGCUCAACCCAACGUCGUGCAGAAGACACUUCCAGACUAGAGACCGGGAGGGGUUAUGAAGUAUUUGCGGGGUAGCGGUAAAAUGCUAUAAUCCCGUGAGGACUACCAGUAGCGAAGGCGUCUAACCAGAACGGGUCUGACGAUGAGGAACGAAAGCCAGGGGAGCGAACCGGAUUAGAUACCCGAGUAGUCCUGGCCGUAAACGCUGCGAGUUAGGUGUUGCAUAUUCUCCGUGAAUAUGCAGUGUCGGAGCGAAAGCGUUAAACUCGCCGCCUGGGAAGUACGGUCGCAAGACUGAAACUUAAAGGAAUUGGCGGGGGAGCACAACAAGGGGUGCGGCGUGCGGUUUAAUCCAACUCAACGCGGAGAAUCUCACCAGAGGCGACGGCAGGAUGAAGGUCAGCCUGAAGGGCUUACCCAACGAGCCGAGAGGUGGUGCAUGGCCGUCGUCAGCUCGUGCCGUGAGGUGUCCUGUUAAGUCAGGCAACGAGCGAGACCUGUACCUACAAUUGCCAGCAACACUUUAUGUGGAUUGGGCACAUUGUAGGGACUGCCUUGGAAACAAGGAGGAAGGUGCAGGCAACGGUAGGUCUGUAUGCCCCGAAUCCUCUGGGCUACACGCGCGCAACAAUGGUAAGGACAAAAGGAUACGACUCCGAAAGGAGAAGUUAACCCUCUAAACCUUAUCUCAGUCCAGGUUGAGGAUUGUAACUCAUCCUCAUGACGCUGGAAUCCCUAGUAAUCAGAUUUUAGCAUAAUCUGGUGAAUAUGUCCCUGCUCCUUGCACACACCGCCCGUCAAACCAACCGAGCAGGGUUUUGGUAAACGCAAUUCUUUAAAUUGUGUGAAUCAGAGCUCAGUGAGGUGGGUUAAGUCGUCACAAGGUA
RNAcentral lists this ribosomal RNA (1431 nucleotides) under metagenome. RNAcentral's name for it is "bacterial SSU rRNA". It matches the Rfam family "Archaeal small subunit ribosomal RNA". The record is from RNAcentral.